GGGCGCUGGAGAAUUGAGGGGGGCUGCUCCUAGUACGAGAGGACCGGAGUGGACGCAUCACUGGUGUUCGGGUUGUCAUGCCAAUGGCACUGCCCGGUAGCUAAAUGCGGAAGAGAUAAGUGCUGAAAGCAUCUAAGCACGAAACUUGCCCCGAGAUGAGUUCUCCCUGAGACUUUAAGUCUCCUGAAGGAACGUUGAAGACGACGACGUUGAUAGGCCGGGUGUGUAAGCGCAGCGAUGCGUUGAGCUAACCGGUACUAAUGAACCGUGAGGCUUAACCUUACAACGCCGAAG
Molecule: ribosomal RNA, 294 nt
Filed under: Klebsiella pneumoniae
Lineage: Bacteria; Pseudomonadati; Pseudomonadota; Gammaproteobacteria; Enterobacterales; Enterobacteriaceae
Description: partial 23S ribosomal RNA
Rfam family: Bacterial large subunit ribosomal RNA
Source: RNAcentral